UCUGAACUUUGAAUGCCCUUAAUGCU
RNAcentral lists this non-coding RNA (26 nucleotides) under Mus musculus (house mouse). Lineage: Eukaryota; Metazoa; Chordata; Mammalia; Rodentia; Muridae. The record is from RNAcentral.